UACGUAGGUGGCGAGCGUUAUCCGGAUUUACUGGGUGUAAAGGGCGCGUAGGCGGGUCUGCAAGUCAGAUGUGAAAUACCGGGGCUCAACCCCGGGGCUGCAUUUGAAACUGCAGGUCUUGAGUGAUGGAGAGGCAAGUGGAAUUCCUAGUGUAGCGGUGAAAUGCGUAGAUAUUAGGAGGAACACCAGUGGCGAAGGCGACUUGCUGGACAUUAACUGACGCUGAGGCGCGAAAGCGUGGGGAGCAAACAGG
This 253-nucleotide ribosomal RNA is filed under the name uncultured bacterium. Its description in RNAcentral is "partial 16S ribosomal RNA". It matches the Rfam family "Bacterial small subunit ribosomal RNA", at positions 524 to 776 of the family's 1533-position model. The record is from RNAcentral.